GCGCAGUUGUCGCGGAAUCGGUCUUUCUUGCUUGAGCUGUGCAGGUACUCAGUCAUGUUGGCUAAAAGGAAAGAUGACGGACGAAAGAAAAAAAAAAUGCGAGCAAAUAACUCCCACUGACUUGUAAAUGUUAGUGCAAUCGAUUGUGCGAGUCAAAUGUUGAAUUUGGCUUGGCAAAGUUGAACAUGUUGACCACGUGGACUCGACGACGGAAAACGUGACACCACGGUGGGCGUCAGAUCGUGAAAUGCCGCCUUGGUUGACGUUUUUGUCUUCCAAAUGAUGGAAGUCAAGAGGUCACGUGUCCAGAUGAACAACGUUAUAUGAAAUCGUACGUUUUGGAGCAACCAGUCUUGGCUCGAAAAGGUAUUAAAACAUUUAUUUUCAUCUAUUGAUUGAUUUAUUAACCUGAUGUGAUGAAAUAACAACUGAAACAGCUGGAAUUACCGACAGAUGUUUAGUGGUGACUCAGUUUUCUGAACUUUGAAAUGAAACAAUGGAAUGUUGUGCACACUUGAUGUAGAUGCUGUGACGAUUUGAGUUUUUUUAUU
Syngnathus acus (greater pipefish) is the source of this 551-nucleotide long non-coding RNA. RefSeq lists it as uncharacterized. Lineage: Eukaryota; Metazoa; Chordata; Actinopteri; Syngnathiformes; Syngnathidae. The transcript is spliced from 3 exons. The record is from RefSeq and is a predicted model, not a curated record.